UGAAUGCUGUAACUAAAAGCAUGUGC
Molecule: non-coding RNA, 26 nt
Filed under: Mus musculus (house mouse)
Lineage: Eukaryota; Metazoa; Chordata; Mammalia; Rodentia; Muridae
Source: RNAcentral